This 732-nucleotide ribosomal RNA is filed under the name Catharosia cf. nebulosa T493. RNAcentral's name for it is "SSU rRNA". It matches the Rfam family "Eukaryotic small subunit ribosomal RNA", at positions 505 to 1191 of the family's 1831-position model. Lineage: Eukaryota; Metazoa; Arthropoda; Insecta; Diptera; Tachinidae. The record is from RNAcentral.
CUGUAAUUGGAAUGAGUACACUUUAAAUCCUUUAACAAGGACCUAUUGGAGGGCAAGUCUGGUGCCAGCAGCCGCGGUAACUCCAGCUCCAAUAGCGUAUAUUAAAGUUGUUGCGGUUAAAACGUUCGUAGUUGAACUUGUGCUUCAUACGGGUAGUACAACUAUAAUUGUAGUUUGUACUGUACCUUAUGUAUGUAAGCGUAUUACCGGUGGAGUUCUUAUAURUAAGUACUUUAUUUUCCUCCUAUUUAAACCUGCUUCAGUGCUCUUCAUCGAGUGUUGUUGUGGGCCGGUACAAUUACUUUGAACAAAUUAGAGUGCUUAAAGCAGGCUCCAAAUGCCUGAAUAUUUUGUGCAUGGAAUAAUGAAAUAAGACCUCUGUUCUACUUUCAUUGGUUUUUAGAUCAAGAGGUAAUGAUUAAUAGAAGCAGUUUGGGGGCAUUAGUAUUACGACGCGAGAGGUGAAAUUCUUGGACCGUCGUAAGACUAACUUAAGCGAAAGCAUUUGCCAAAGAUGUUUUCAUUAAUCAAGAACGAAAGUUAGAGGUUCGAAGGCGAUCAGAUACCGCCCUAGUUCUAACCAUAAACGAUGCCAGCUAGCAAUUGGGUGUAGCUACUAUCAUGGCUCUCUCAGUCGCUUCCCGGGAAACCAAAGCUUUUGGGCUCCGGGGGAAGUAUGGUUGCAAAGCUGAAACUUAAAGGAAUUGACGGAAGGGCACCACCAGGAGUGGA